This 234-nucleotide ribosomal RNA is filed under the name uncultured bacterium. RNAcentral describes it as "partial 16S ribosomal RNA". It matches the Rfam family "Bacterial small subunit ribosomal RNA", at positions 15 to 244 of the family's 1533-position model. The record is from RNAcentral.
GAUCAUGGCUCAGAUUGAACGCUGGCGGCAGGCCUAACACAUGCAAGUCGAACGGUAACAGGAAGCAGCUUGCUGCUUUGCUGACGAGUGGCGGACUGGUGAGUAAUGUCUGGGAAACUGCCUGAUGGAGGGGGAUAACUACUGGAAACGGUAGCUAAUACCGCAUAACGUCGCAAGACCAAAGAGGGGGGACCUUCGGGCCUCUUGCCAUCGGAUGUGCCCAGAUGGGAUUAG